Metopolophium dirhodum (rose-grain aphid) is the source of this 862-nucleotide long non-coding RNA. RefSeq lists it as uncharacterized. The record is from RefSeq and is a predicted model, not a curated record. Lineage: Eukaryota; Metazoa; Arthropoda; Insecta; Hemiptera; Aphididae. The transcript is spliced from 3 exons.
CACGCGCAAGUGCAAGUAGUAGAUGCGGUGUAUACAAAUAUAUAUUAUCAAUUACGCGAUAAACAAUAAUACUGAUAAGAGAAGAACUCAAAAUUUAACACCCCGCCGUUGUUAUCUCAUAAUAACCUUACGAUUGAUAACGUAAUAUAUUGUGCAGAUACCAAUUAAUGUCCAAAUCACUUAGAUCAUAAACAUAUUAUAUAUACAACAUACAUAAUAUAUUACAUUAUUGUAUAUGAUCUAAGCCAAAUCCUCAUAGUGAUCAGUGAAUAAUCAAUAUUAUCCAAGUUCCAACAGCGGUCAGCAUCUAAUUUACUGUGUAAUAAUGAUAAGAUUAAAUCCUACAAGGAUAGAGCUAAGGAUUGAAGAUCUAAGCGAAUUUGCAGAUAUCAAAAAUCAUUAUGAAGCUAUUAAAAAAACUAAAGAAGAAAAACAAAAAAAUCUAUAUGGUCCUCUUCUAAAUAGCAACACUUCAAAAACCAAACAAGAAGCUGUACAAGAAAGAAUAGGAUUUAUCCCAAGGCCCAGACAUUCAUCACAAUGAAAGAAAAUGUGCGCGGGGUAUGCAGCUGCAAAUCCUGAACAAAGAACCUUGUUUCUACACUCUGUUCCAUCUAAGAGUGAACCACUCGGCAGACCAAAACACGUUUUUACCGUGCAUCCUCACCAUAAUCCAGACAUCGGUGAGAUCAUUAGCUCAGGCACCCGACAACCGAUGAUGGUCUGCCAAUCACGGAACGCAUAGCCAUCGCAUGGGGGCUAUACACUGUUCAGUACCUCAGUCUGCUUGCGCGAAAGCGGUUCACUCUAAGAUGGAAAACAGUAUGGACAUGCCAAAAAUAAAUAAAAAAUCAUAACUAUA